Taeniopygia guttata (zebra finch) is the source of this 3176-nucleotide non-coding RNA. The record is from RefSeq and is a predicted model, not a curated record. Lineage: Eukaryota; Metazoa; Chordata; Aves; Passeriformes; Estrildidae.
AUUGUCUGUUCAGCGUUAGUAUUUUCAAGUUUUAGCUCUAAAGUGCUGCAGACUCCUGAAUAAUUGCCUGUGAGCUUAUGUCUAUCACCUUUCUGUCUUCAGCCUCAACGAAGCAAUCCCUGUGCACUGGGACUGUUGCCUUGAAGGACAUCCCCUGUUAUCUCCCUGAAUGACACUGAUGUACACACGAGAGGAGCAAAUAUUUCCCAUGAGAGAACCUCAGAAGAAAACUCCAAACUUUAGGGAUUUUAACCUGACAGAGAACUUUCCAACAUGCUCCACAGAAAUGUUUCUUGGCUGCUUCUGUGGCUGCCUCUCUUGCUGGUGUUCACUGAGACAAAAUACACAUUUUUUACCCGAGGAGCCCAUUUUUUUUUUACCCAAGAAAUAAAAGAUGACACUAGAGGGCGGCCUGUUAAUGUAAUUCAAUAAUGAAGUUGCAGCGACUGCACGUGGAGAUGCAGCACUGUCCCCUGCUUGGAGCCAGGGCUGUGCCUGGAAGCAGGUCUGGGAACGCUGCCUCCUCCUGCUGAGGCAACCAGCACUGCCCCAAGACACGGAGAAUAUCCUGACUGGAAUACCAGAACCCAAAACAAUGACUGUUCCCAAGAAGUGUGAUUUUCCAGCAGACCCACGCGAGUGCGUUGUCUGAUGUGUUCAACACUCAGGCCUGCUCAGAGAAGGAUGUGGCAGGAGCUAUCCUGUCCAUUCUCCCGUGACAAACCCAUGUCCUGCUGCAAGCCACGGCCCCAACUUUGGCAGCUAAAGGACGGUGAUGCAGUUUUAGCUGCCUGCACUGCAGUUCUGUGAGCAUAGUCCCUGUAGGCAGCUCACUCUCAGGCUCUGCACAGCCUUCCCAUGACUGAGGAGGUCUCCUACCAUUCCACAGACAGGUUUCCUUGUGUCAAAUGAGGUUAAUAGCUGCAUGCAAUUUAAUUAAUUAAAGGCUGUGAAUAUUUUUAGAACACCAGACGUAAUAUGUGUCAGAAAUACCAGGUAUUAUCUGAGUAUGCGGUGCUGGCGUUAUCGAUAUUUACAUUUUGCACCGCCUGGAAACGAGGAUUUCCUGGUGGGAAGCUGCCAACAGCAAUGCUUUCCCCCCCCCCGAUUUAGAAUCUGUGUGUUAAGUGUGAGCCAGCAGGCACAAGUGAUGACAGGCAGAGGCAAGGCCAAGGUGACAAUACAUUGUCCACUGGUGACACUGGGGUUUGUCACACAGGGACCACACCACAGGCAUCCUCAAGAGGCUUUGAGUCUGUGAGCCUACAAAGGUAAUUCGGCACGUUCCCCAGAGAACAUUUUAAGCUGAACUUAGCUGAGACUUUCUUAUUGUCUGCAGCAGAAAUUGGCCUGGAGUUACAGAUGGAAAGAACUUAAAUAAGUGGCCGCUUUCCUGCAAGCUGAUGUUCCUUAGCAUUUAGCAAUAACGUGUCCUCGGUUUUUGCUAGAUUGCAAACGAGCAAUUAAUUCUUCAGCACUUGUGCAGAAUACUUUAAAAAUGGAAACAUGAAAGUCUUCUAUUAAAAUGAAGUUGAUAGUAUGCACCUGCCACUAAUGUACUGUACACUGUGUCUUCCACUCAUUAUAGUGAUGAUUUGGGUUGAGAUCAAGUGUCAUAUAGUGAAAAUCACUUCAACAUGUGCCUGUUCAUAUGCAUAAACUCCUGUGUACCAGAUGGCAAAAUAUAAUGACAUCUUAAACAGCUAAUUGCAUAAACCUUGUAAUGCAGAUAAUUGCUGAACCAAAGUAUGAGUUAAUAAUUUCCCACUGUAUUGCCUGGCUUGACACUAAUUCUAAAGGAAAGUUGUGACAAUUCUAACGCACUAAAGUUCACCAAGCGGUAAUUAAAACUAGCACUUAAAAUCAUUCGACUUUCAAACCCUUAAUUACAAUUCAGUGGAAUCACUUUGUAGAAAUCUAACAUUUAUAGAUAGUUACAUGAUAGCUGAUAUUUCAUCAUCAUCCCUUUCAUGGCAGUGUUCUAAGGCAGGCUUCAGGAAGCACACAGCUCUUCCUGGAAGCUCAAGGUUGUACUGGUUUCUGUACCAGUGGUCACUGGGAAACACUUGGAAAACAGUGGUCAAGACUAGGAGUUUUUCCAUGGGCAGUGUGGAAAGUAGUCCUUUUUAAUCACCUGAUGAUAUAUAAUCGUAAAUAAGCAUCAAACCACUACAAUGAAGUGUAUCAGGUUUCACAGCAUGGGUUUAAGAAUUGAAUUGUUGCGGUUGGUUUGAUAACACAACAUACUGACCUCAAAGUUGGGCCUCUAACACAUCCUGAGCUGUUACCGUGUAUUGGAAAAGAAGAACAGGAAUAGAAUUAAUGAUGGUAAAUACAGUUUUAGGAGAAAUAAGCCUUAGCAGACAAAUGCAAUUUCUUUCUUUGAUGAGGCGCAUCAAAUAAUAUGAUGAAGGUAAAGACUGAAUGAUAAAGGUCAAUGAAGAGAUGUGAUAUUCAUUUUUUUAUGGAGAUUAGAAUUAACACUGUGUGAUAUUCCGAUCAAAAAGCAUUAGAAAUAGCAGCAGAGCAUGCACUAAUUAGAUUAGGAAUUGGCAAACAGCCUGUUAAAAAGUAGCUAUGAAUCAGGAGUUGUUAUCAAAUGGGAGAGUUUUACCAGGAUCAGCAUCAGGUCAGAUGCUAGUCAAUGUUUUCAUCAAGGAUUUGGAUGUAAACACUGUAAAUUCACAGCUGAUAAAUCUGAGGGUGACAGGAACACUGGUGGAGUGACAGACAGCGAUGAGAAUGACACUCCAAGUGAUCUCAGUUGCUUCAUGAGCUGAGCCCAUUCAAACACAAUUGCUUUUAAUACAGACAAUAUAAGAUUAUGCGGUUUCUAGUGCUCACACUUUUAAAAAAUUGUUGGAAAACUGGAGAGGGUGCAGAAAAGAGCCACAGAGAGGAUUUUAGGGCUGAAGAAAGUGCUUAAUGGUGAAAGACUUAAAGCGCUCAAUCUGCCUCGCUUACUCGAAAGAAGACUGGGACGUGACAGGAGUGUAAUGUGUAAGUAUUUAAGUAUCUAAGAGAUGUGUCUGGAAAUAUCUGCUGGAUACUGACAAUGUUUUUAAUCUUUCAGAGAGAAAUGGAUAAUUACAAGUUGUAGUCAAAGGAACUCAAGAGAGAAUUUAGGGGGCUUUAAUAGUUAGAGUAGAUGAAGGCUGAUUUUCAAGGCACAAGGU